UCUUUGUGUAGGCAGCAACGUGAGGAAAACAAACGUACCCGGGAACACGUUGCAGGGCGAGGAGACGGAACGAGGUCGGCACAUGAAGUUAGCAGACAGUUAGCAUGGACUCUACAGGACAAUAUUCCUAACCUGGAGGAAUUCUUUCCAUCUGUGGACACUUCCGGACUAGAGGAAUAUUAAUAAGACAGGAAAGGACGGGGACUGAAGGUUUAGGACAGCCUCCAGCUCAUCUGUGGGACGAGACCCUUCUGACUUCAGGACGUCCGUCUGGAAUUAGUUCCCCCUGAAGAACAAGAAUGAGUUCUCCACAAAAGAAACGGAGAAGAAGAGGAGAAAAACGUCACCACUGUCACCACUGUGACAAGUCCUUCACAAAUUCAAACUCUUUAAAGAUUCAUCAGAGAGUUCACACUGGAGAGAAACCUUACAGAUGUGAUCUUUGUGGGACAACUUUCACACUACAGGGUAAC
Molecule: long non-coding RNA, 473 nt
Organism: Perca flavescens (yellow perch)
Lineage: Eukaryota; Metazoa; Chordata; Actinopteri; Perciformes; Percidae
Exons: 3
Source: RefSeq, a predicted model, not a curated record